CGGUAGCUAAUACCGCAUAACGUCGCAAGACCAAAGAGGGGGACCUUCGGGCCUCUUGCCAUCAGAUGUGCCCAGAUGGGAUUAGCUAGUAGGUGGGGUAACGGCUCACCUAGGCGACGAUCCCUAGCUGGUCUGAGAGGAUGACCAGCCACACUGGAACUGAGACACGGUCCAGACUCCUACGGGAGGCAGCAGUGGGGAAUAUUGCACAAUGGGCGCAAGCCUGAUGCAGCCAUGCCGCGUGUAUGAAGAAGGCCUUCGGGUUGUAAAGUACUUUCAGCGGGGAGGAAGGUGUUGUGGUUAAUAACCACAGCAAUUGACGUUACCCGCAGAAGAAGCACCGGCUAACUCCGUGCCAGCAGCCGCGGUAAUACGGAGGGUGCAAGCGUUAAUCGGAAUUACUGGGCGUAAAGCGCACGCAGGCGGUCUGUCAAGUCGGAUGUGAAAUCCCCGGGCUCAACCUGGGAACUGCAUUCGAAACUGGCAGGCUAGAGUCUUGUAGAGGGGGGUAGAAUUCCAGGUGUAGCGGUGAAAUGCGUAGAGAUCUGGAGGAAUACCGGUGGCGAAGGCGGCCCCCUGGACAAAGACUGACGCUCAGGUGCGAAAGCGUGGGGAGCAAACAGGAUUAGAUACCCUGGUAGUCCACGCCGUAAACGAUGUCGACUUGGAGGUUGUGCCCUUGAGGCGUGGCUUCCGGAGCUAACGCGUUAAGUCGACCGCCUGGGGAGUACGGCCGCAAGGUUAAAACUCAAAUGAAUUGACGGGGGCCCGCACAAGCGGUGGAGCAUGUGGUUUAAUUCGAUGCAACGCGAAGAACCUUACCUACUCUUGACAUCCAGAGAACUUAGCAGAGAUGCUUUGGUGCCUUCGGGAACUCUGAGACAGGUGCUGCAUGGCUGUCGUCAGCUCGUGUUGUGAAAUGUUGGGUUAAGUCCCGCAACGAGCGCAACCCUGCGUCGUAGUCCGGAUUGGAGUCUGCAACUCGACUCCAUGAAGUCGGAAUCGCUAGUAAUCGUAGAUCAGAAUGCUACGGUGAAUACGUUCCCGGGCCUUGUACACACCGCCCGUCACACCAUGGGAGUGGGUUGCAAAAGAAGUAGGUAGCUUAACCUUCGGGAGGGCGCUUACCACUUUGUGAUUCAUGACUGGGGUGAAGUCGUAACAAGGUAACCGUAGGGGAACCUGCGGUUG
Molecule: ribosomal RNA, 1191 nt
Filed under: Enterobacter ludwigii
Lineage: Bacteria; Pseudomonadati; Pseudomonadota; Gammaproteobacteria; Enterobacterales; Enterobacteriaceae
Description: bacterial SSU rRNA
Rfam family: Bacterial small subunit ribosomal RNA
Source: RNAcentral